AGCAGCUUUUGCUCAUCGGGGGACUCUGUUAUUGGGCAGCUCUUCAGCUGUGAGAUGGAGAACUGCAGCCUCUGCCGCUGUGGCAGUGAGACCGUGCGAGCCUCAUCCACCCUGCUUUUCACACUCUCCUACCCUGAUGAUAAAACUGGGAAGAACUAUGACUUUGCUCAGGUGCUGAAGCGAAGCAUCUGCCUGGACCAGAAUACACAGGCCUGGUGUGACACCUGUGAAAAGUACCAGCCCACGAUUCAGACCCGCAACAUCCGCCAUCUGCCAGAUAUUCUUGUCAUCAAUUGUGAGGUGAACAGCUCAAAAGAGGCUGAUUUCUGGAGAAUGCAGGCUGAGGUUGCCUUCAAGAUGGCAGUAAAGAAACACGGUGGGGAAAUCUCCAAGAACAAGGAAUUUGCUUUGGCUGAUUGGAAGGAACUAGGGAGUCCAGAGGGUGUGCUGGUGUGUCCCUCCAUUGAGGAGUUGAAGAACGUCUGGCUUCCUUUCUCCAUUCGCAUGAAGAUGACCAAAAACAAAGGGCUGGAUGUUUGCAAUUGGACUGAUGGGGAUGAGAUGCAGGUUGUUGAAAAACCGGGAAGAGGAAAGGGAAUAAGGGAGAGAAUAAAGGAGGGCAGGGGAAGGUGAAACUUAGCAGAGGGAAAAGGAAGAGAAUAAGGCCUAGUAUUUACCUGUUAGUGGAUUUUCCAUAGUCACUCAGUUCAGUGUUGGGGUCCUAGAUGGGCUAGGAUGGAGAUAACCCACCCUGGUCCCCCAUCCCCCAUACCCCCAACUCCCUGUCCUCUGUCCCCAUUCCCCUCCCUUCCCCAUCCUUAAACUUAGCUUAGCAGCCUGGGUACCCCCCUCACAGUGGGGCCCAGCCAGGGCAGAGGAGGAGCAUGGUGUCUAUGUGUAUGACCUGAUGGCUACUGUGGUACACAUCCUGGACUCACGCACAGGGGGCAGCCUGGUGGCUCACAUCAAAGUUGGAGAGACCUACCACCAGCGCAAGGAGGGCGUUACUCACCAGCAGUGGUAUCUGUUCAAUGACUUUCUUAUUGAACCUAUUGAUAAGCAUGAAGCUGUGCAGUUUGACAUGAAUUGGAAAGUACCUGCAAUCCUUUAUUAUGUCAAACGGAAUCUCAAUUCCAGAUACAACCUGAACAUCAAGAACCCUAUUGAGGCAAGUGUCUUGCUGGCUGAAGCCUCGCUGGCACGGAAGCAGCGGAAAACACAUACUACCUUUAUUCCACUGAUGCUGAAUGAGAUGCCACAGAUUGGGGACCUGGUGGGUCUGGAUGCUGAGUUUGUCACCCUUAAUGAGGAGGAAGCAGAGUUACGCAGUGAUGGUACCAAGUCUACCAUUAAACCAAGCCAGAUGUCAGUAGCCAGGAUUACCUGUGUUCGGGGCCAGGGACCCAAUGAGGGUAUCCCCUUCAUUGAUGACUACAUCUCUACCCAGGAGCAGGUGGUGGAUUACUUGACUCAAUACUCGGGUAUAAAGCCUGGUGACCUCGAUGCCAAAAUUUCCUCCAAGCACCUAACAACUCUCAAGUCUACCUACUUAAAGCUUCGUUUUCUCAUUGACAUUGGAGUCAAGUUUGUGGGUCAUGGCCUGCAGAAGGACUUCCGGGUCAUCAACCUGAUGGUGCCCAAGGACCAAGUCCUUGACACUGUCUACCUGUUCCAUAUGCCCCGAAAACGAAUGAUUUCCCUGCGAUUCCUUGCUUGGUACUUUCUGGACCUGAAGAUUCAAGGGGAAACCCAUGACAGUAUUGAGGAUGCCCGCACAGCCCUUCAGCUGUACCGAAAGUAUCUGGAGCUAAGCAAAAAUGGCACUGAGCCUGAGUCUUUCCACAAGGUGCUCAAGGGUCUUUAUGAGAAGGGCAGAAAGAUGGACUGGAAGGUGCCUGAGCCUGAGGGCCAAACAAGUCCCAAGAAUGCAGCUGUCUUCUCCUCAGUGCUGGCGCUCUGACUACCCUUCCCAAAGAACCACGGCCCUCUCCCUUUACUGUUCUAUAGCCCCAGAACUGGGAGAUGGCUUCCUAAGUUGGCUAUACCUUGUCCACUUCCAGUACUGGACGUGCUCAGGGUCUAGGGUCACAGAUGGUGCUAUUAAUUGAACUGGAACACAGCAGAAUUGUUGCAAAGGUUCUAGGAGCCAGAUUCAUUCCUUCUUCAUUCUUUGCAAAACAGUGGUACAGACAUGGAGUCUAGAAUUGACCCAGAUGGAAAGUAAUUGGUAUUCUUAAUAUCCUGGGUGACUAAUAUCCAGGCAGAGAAGCUCCUGGAACCAUAACUGUAAGUUCCUAGCUGGCUAGGGAUUGAAGUCCUGGACAGUGACAGAGAAUACCACAGUAGUUCAAGACUUAGCACAAGUCACCAACUGCUUCAGGGAUACCUGGAGGGGCCAGCAAGUAGAGUGUUGGUGGCCCAAGCAAACCAGUGUUGCCAAUACCAUUGCCAAAAGGGCCUUUGGAUCCUGGACAAAGCUUGGCUGCCGGCUUCAUUUAUUCCUGCUGAUGGCUGAGAAGCAUCUGUCUUCCAUCCUACUUGCCUGUCCCAAGUUUUGUUCCAUUUUUUAAAAAUUUGUUGUAAACUGCAUGUUUUAUAAAAUAAAAAUAAAAUAUCGUUUGUUAUUUA
This 2628-nucleotide small RNA is filed under the name Pan troglodytes (chimpanzee). RNAcentral's name for it is "retained intron". The record is from RNAcentral. Lineage: Eukaryota; Metazoa; Chordata; Mammalia; Primates; Hominidae.